UACGGGAGGCAGCAGUGGGGAAUAUUGCACAAUGGGCGCAAGCCUGAUGCAGCCAUGCCGCGUGUAUGAAAAAGGCCUUCGGGUUGUAAAGUACUUUCAGUCGUGAGGAAGGUGUUAAGGUUAAUAACCUUAGCAAUUGACGUUAGCGACAGAAGAAGCACCGGCUAACUCCGUGCCAGCAGCCGCGGUAAUACGGAGGGUGCGAGCGUUAAUCGGAAUUACUGGGCGUAAAGGGCACGCAGGCGGUUAAUUAAGUUUGGAUGUGAAAUCCCCCGGGGCUUAACCUGGGAAUGGCAUUCAAGACUGGUUAGCUAGAGUCUUGUAGAGGGGGUAGAAUUCCAUGUGUAGCGGUGAAAUGCGUAGAGAUGUGGAGGAAUACCGGUGGCGAAGGCGGCCCCUGGACAAAGACUGACGCUCAUGUGCGAAAGCGUGGGGAGCAAACAGGGAUUAGAUACC
RNAcentral lists this ribosomal RNA (456 nucleotides) under uncultured bacterium. RNAcentral describes it as "bacterial SSU rRNA". It matches the Rfam family "Bacterial small subunit ribosomal RNA", at positions 340 to 786 of the family's 1533-position model. The record is from RNAcentral.